This 568-nucleotide ribosomal RNA is filed under the name uncultured bacterium. RNAcentral describes it as "bacterial SSU rRNA". It matches the Rfam family "Bacterial small subunit ribosomal RNA", at positions 338 to 916 of the family's 1533-position model. RNAcentral also lists the same sequence under 1 other name. The record is from RNAcentral.
CCUACGGGAGGCAGCAGUGGGGAAUAUUGCACAAUGGGCGCAAGCCUGAUGCAGCAACGCCGCGUGAGGGAUGACGGCCUUCGGGUUGUAAACCUCUUUUAGUAGGGAAGAAGCGAAAGUGACGGUACCUGCAGAAAAAGCACCGGCUAACUACGUGCCAGCAGCCGCGGUAAUACGUAGGGUGCAAGCGUUGUCCGGAAUUAUUGGGCGUAAAGAGCUCGUAGGCGGUUUGUCGCGUCUGCUGUGAAAUCCCGAGGCUCAACCUCGGGCCUGCAGUGGGUACGGGCAAACUAGAGUGUGGUAGGGGAGAUUGGAACUCCUGGUGUAGCGGUGGAAUGCGCAGAUAUCAGGAAGAACACCGAUGGCGAAGGCAGAUCUCUGGGCCAUUACUGACGCUGAGGAGCGAAAGCGUGGGGAGCGAACAGGAUUAGAUACCCUGGUAGUCCACGCCGUAAACGUUGGGAACUAGAUGUAGGGUCCAUUCCACGGAUUCUGUGUCGCAGCUAACGCAUUAAGUUCCCCGCCUGGGGAGUACGGCCGCAAGGCUAAAACUCAAAGGAAUUGACGG